UAUUUAUUAUAGUUAAAAUGUAUUAUAAACUGUUAUGUAUACAAUAUAUUUAUAUCCAUAUAUAGCAAAUAUAAUAUAAUACAAUGAAAUAAUAUAUACAAUUAUAUAAUAUUUAAUAAUAUACAAAAUAUAAAUAUACAUAAAUACAAUAUCAAACACAUAUCAUUCAAUAAUAUACAACAAUAAAAUGUAUAUAAUUUUUGUGCAUAU
Molecule: non-coding RNA, 210 nt
Organism: Cinara cedri
Lineage: Eukaryota; Metazoa; Arthropoda; Insecta; Hemiptera; Aphididae
Source: the annotation of a GenBank genome assembly